GCCAGGCGUGGUGGUGCAUGCCUGUAGUCUCAGCUACUCGGGAGGCUGAGGCAGAAGAAUUGCUUGAACCCGGGAGACAGAGGUUGCAGUGAGCCGAGAUCACGCCACUGCACUCUAGCCUGGGCAACAGAGCAAGACUCUGUCUCAA
This 148-nucleotide small RNA is filed under the name Pongo abelii (Sumatran orangutan). Its description in RNAcentral is "Metazoan signal recognition particle RNA (ENSPPYG00000034758.1)". Lineage: Eukaryota; Metazoa; Chordata; Mammalia; Primates; Hominidae. The record is from Rfam by way of RNAcentral.